AUAUAUUACUGCCUUUUGGAGAACAGCCGGCCGUACUCCAGACAGAGACAAAGACGUGAGGACAUCUAUUGCUUUUAAGUCAUGUACCACACUUUGUCAACAAUGCAUGUUGUUCCUGCAAUCUGGAUGAAGAAUAAUAUAUUACUGCCUCUUGGGAAAGCAGCAGACUGUACUCCAGACAGAGACAAAGACAUGAGGACAUCCAUUGCUUUUAAGUCCUAUACCAGACUAUGUUGUUCCAGCUGUCUGGGUAAAGACUGAUACAUUACUGCCUCUUGGAGAACAGCAAACCAUUCUCCAGACAGAGACAAAGACAUGGACAUCAAAACAGAAAAUUAAGUACUUGAUCUUGGAUUGUUUGGAGUGAACGCUGGAAAAUAAUGAAGCAGGAAAUUAAAAUGCUUGACUAAAACAAUUUUUGUACUUGGCAAGUGCUUUAUUUAAUUGGCUGUAAGAAGUCCUUUGUGUGCACAGACAUGACUGGAGAUUAAAGUUACUAAAUGUUGCUUUUUUUCUAGCUGGUGACAUAACAUGGUAUUAUUUUCAAAUGUAUUUAUCUAAUACACAUUUGCACAUCUGUAAACAUUCAUUUUAUAUAGGAUGUUUUUUAUAUUUAACCAGUUGUUGUAUAUUGCUUUCUGUUAUUACAUCUGUUUUUUUUGCCUGUUUAUUGUUUAAAACAAUUAAGUUAAUGUUUCUCUGUUAGCUUUUGUUACUUUGGCUAUUUCUUUGCUUUUAUUUGAUCCUUCUACUGUUAUUUGUUUAUUUGGCAGAACAUUUGACAUUUCAUUUAUUUUGCUGUUAUCUGAAAUUAUCCUUGUCACCAUCAAUAAAACUCUAUAUUUGCUUUA
Misgurnus anguillicaudatus (oriental weatherfish) is the source of this 851-nucleotide non-coding RNA. Lineage: Eukaryota; Metazoa; Chordata; Actinopteri; Cypriniformes; Cobitidae. The record is from RefSeq and is a predicted model, not a curated record.